GCGCUCUCCAGGUUGGCCUCCGUGGGGUCCGAGUCCUGCGGCCCCAGCUUCUCCUUCAGCGCCGCCCACUUGCGCUGCGCCCCCUCCUUCACCGACAUCCUGCUGAACUGCGGGGCCAGAGAGAGAUGAGUGAUCCUCACUGAAUCGCCAUAGCAACCGAGGAGGCACUGGCUCCGCCCCGCUGUCCGCAAGAGGACCUUGAGGUGGCUACACCGGCAGGAACACCACUGCCCACUGGGGGUGAUGCAACAGAAUGGCAUCUCUGGGGCUCCCGAGCACUUCCCUAACCCAGCGGUCAGGGUCAAAUGGGGUCAAUAGGAUGCACACAAUUCCAGACCCUGGCACUCCUGGGCUGCAGCUGGGAAGAGGGCUAACGGGGUCACGCCCAGUGCCCAUCCAAUUCCUGGCAAGAACAGGGCCCCAGUGGGCGGCAGCCCUGCCGGGCCCUGGCUCCUGUGGGCCCUUGGCAUGUGUAGAUUUACCCAGACUCAUUUACAACAUGUGUGACCCCCACCCAGAGUGCCCCCCCAACACACCUUUACCCAACACAGAACAGUACAGGCGGCUGUGCCCCCUCCCUGGGGCCCUCUGCCAUGACGCUGUCCCCACCCACAUCCUCUGGGGCCUGGCCUCAAAGGUCAGGGGCAGCCCAGACUCUCCUGCGCCCAUGUAUGGCUCGGCUCUUAUAUUUAGUAUCUAAGAAGGGCAGCAGGAGCCCCUGGGAGGAAGGCCUGAGGAGCAGGGUAGAGUGAUGCCACUGUGCCUCACGCCCCGCCACUGCCCUCAGCGUCCCCCCACCUUACAGGAGAGACAGGUGGCACCUCGAGAAGCCAGGUCCCAUGCCCAGAGCCCCAGGGCUGAAGACAGUGGACCCGAGUGGGACUGGACCCCAGCCAGAGAGAGGGUAGCCCGGAGUCUGACAUGCCGGACGCCCAGCUUGGCUUUACUCUAAGGGCUGCAGACUUGGAUGAGACUGAAUGUACAGACAAUGGCCAGACGGCACGUGAAGACAGAACUCUGACCCACAAGCAGCGGCACCCACUGCAGGAAGCUGGGCCGCCAUCAGAGGGAACCAGCCCCGGAAGCAGGCCGCACGCCCACGGCCCACGUGCAGGAAGGCAGCCCGCUAUCUGCAGCAACCAGCCCAGGGAACCCGACUACAGCACCGAGCCCUCACUCCAGGCAGCUGGGGCCUGGCCAGGGACUGACAGCCCAUAAUCCCAGAAUUGUUGUCCCCACUCUCAAUUUAGGACCAACUAGAGGAAGCCGCACCAUUCCCCCAGCCAUCAUGUGGGCCUUCCAGCUUCCCCAGCCCUCAUCGGGGCACCCAGGGGUCCCCUUUUUCUCUAUAAAGAAGCUUUCUAUAUAUAGAAAUGGUAUAGUUUAAUUUACAUAAUAUGUAUACAUGUGUCAUAUACAUGUAUAAUGUACAC
Molecule: non-coding RNA, 1433 nt
Organism: Manis javanica (Malayan pangolin)
Lineage: Eukaryota; Metazoa; Chordata; Mammalia; Pholidota; Manidae
Source: RefSeq, a predicted model, not a curated record